CCCUUAGAUGUUCUGGGCCGCACGCGCGCUACACUGACGAAGUCAGCGAGCAUGUCCUACGCCGACAGGUGCGGGGAAUCUUGUCAAACUUCGUCGUGAUGGGGAUUGAUUAUUGAAAUUCUUGAUCAUCAACGAGGAAUUCCUAGUAAGCGCAAGUCAGCAGCUUGCGUUGAUUACGUCCCUGCCCUUUGUACACACCGCCGUCGCUACUACCGAUUGAAUGGUUUAGUGAGAUCUUCGGAUUGGCGCCACUGCGGCUCAGCAAUGGGCUCGGUGGAUGCCGAAAAGUUGAUCAAACUUGAUCAUUUAGAGGAAGUAAAAGUCGUAACA
RNAcentral lists this ribosomal RNA (330 nucleotides) under uncultured eukaryote. RNAcentral's name for it is "partial 18S ribosomal RNA". It matches the Rfam family "Eukaryotic small subunit ribosomal RNA", at positions 1470 to 1796 of the family's 1831-position model. The record is from RNAcentral.